CUACGUAGGGCGCAAGCGUUGUCCGGAAUUAUUGGGCGUAAAGAGCUCGUAGGCGGUUGUGUGUGUCGCUGUGAAAACUCGGGGCUUAACCCCGAGCCUGCAGUGGAUACGGGCAGACUAGAGGUAGGUAGGGGAGAAUGGAAUUCCCGGUGUAGCGGUGAAAUGCGCAGAUAUCGGGAGGAACACCGGUGGCGAAGGCGGUUCUCUGGGCCUUACCUGACGCUGAGGAGCGAAAGCGUGGGUAGCAAACAGG
This 253-nucleotide ribosomal RNA is filed under the name uncultured bacterium. RNAcentral describes it as "partial 16S ribosomal RNA". It matches the Rfam family "Bacterial small subunit ribosomal RNA", at positions 523 to 776 of the family's 1533-position model. The record is from RNAcentral.